Molecule: long non-coding RNA, 1160 nt
Organism: Stomoxys calcitrans (stable fly)
Lineage: Eukaryota; Metazoa; Arthropoda; Insecta; Diptera; Muscidae
Exons: 2
Source: RefSeq, a predicted model, not a curated record
CACUAUAGAGAACCAAAGUGCCUGUAGGUGAGAGCCAGAAUGAAAACAAAUAAAUGUCGGAAAAUGCGCGAAAAUGAGGAGAAUGCGCACUGGUAGCGGCCCUAUAAAGGGCAUAACGGCGAAAAUUAGAUCUUUUAACAACCUUUGCGAUUUCACCAAGAAACCAUUUACUUUUAUAUCCAGCAGACGAAAAAACGAAAAGUGGAAACUUAUAUACAGGUUCUAAACAGAACUUUAAUUUAAUCGAUUGUGCUUGGUUGUGUGUUACAUAUACAUAAGUUUUUGGUGCGUGCAAAACAAUGUAUCGACAAAUUCAAAGCUAACCGCAACUAAAGAGAAGAAAAUACCGAUUCCUCCCAGUAUUGGCCUGGUGAAAGUCAGCCAAAUUUAUUUUAUGCCAAAACAUUGAUCCUGUGGUAAAACCAGCCUUAUCGUGGUUGAACCCGAUUGACCCAAGGUGCCGAGAGAGCUCACUUAUAUUUGGCGAGGAAAACCGUGUAGAAAAAUCUGAAAUGGGACGAAAUUAAAUAACCUAUAAAUGUAUGGACACAAGAUAAAAUAGUUAUUCAAUAAAUCAGUUCCCACCAAAAAGUAUCAAUCGGCUAUCGAACCGAUUUAUUUACAGUAAAAUAAGAGAGGAAUGCGCGCGAGCCCCUUGGUGAUAUCCAACUGAAAGAAAAAUAAAAAUGUUAUAAAAUUUUCUUUUUUUAAUCCAAAGAAAAAAAUAUCGAAAUGAUUUGUGUCGUUAUGUUAAGUUGUGAUUGUUUGUAGCUAGUGUGUUAGUUUGUAAGUUCUUAUUUUUUUCUUUUUUUGUGCGGAUUUUUUAACGCCAGGAAUUGAGUGAGUGUAAGGUUAUCAAAGUAUACGGAAGAAUUCUAAUGCUUUAGAUUUCAUUUAUGAACUAUAUGAUAAUGUUCAUUAAAAAUAACCGAGCUCGUUUAGGCAGUAGUAAAUAUGAGUGAAGUGGCCAGAUUUGUCAGUAACAGUAAUCUCCCAUUUCGUAUGUGAUUGGUAGUCUGAUGUAUUGUCUCACGUUAAAAUAACAAAAUGUGUUAAGAAUUCCGUAUUUGUUCUUUUAAUAUGUUUAAGGUUUUUGACCCUAAACGUCAAUGAACUAUACAAAUAAAUAUUGUAAGUUUGAUUGUUUAUUAUAAUUUGAA